Long non-coding RNA from Hordeum vulgare subsp. vulgare (domesticated barley), 1795 nucleotides. RefSeq lists it as uncharacterized. The transcript is spliced from 6 exons. The record is from RefSeq and is a predicted model, not a curated record. NCBI's taxonomy places the organism in Eukaryota, Viridiplantae, Streptophyta, Magnoliopsida, Poales, Poaceae.
UCGUACACUCCAACCAAACCCAAACCAGUCGUCUUCCUGCUCUGCCCCCUCGCCCCCGAGAUCCCAUCCAAAACCAGCUGCCGGCGACCUCGCCUCACCAACCCCGUCGGCGACCUCGCCUCCCCCAUCACCGGCCUCAGAUCCACCUGAGCAACUUAGCCCUUGGCCAGAUUCGUAGCCCACGGCGUCACGGAGCUCCUUCUACACACCAAGCACCGGCAGAGGAGUCCUGUCCUCCUCCCACAGCUACCGCGCCCUCCUCCUCCUUCCACUCCCUAGCCGCGUGCCGCGUCCAACCUUCACAGCUCAGCUCUCCCUCCCUCCUCGCCUCCGAAACCCUAGCCCGCGGGCUGCCAUGGCGACCGAGCUCAGGACCCGAGCAACAUAGACAAGGUUUGCUCCCAUUUGGUCCGAUGAAGGAGCCCAUGGAGAAGCUGCUGCUGGGAGAGGAGGGCGACGACGCAGUUCAGUUCCGUUUGGCUGCUCCGACCAUGCUAGUGCCUUGCUGACGCCAUGGAAGGACGGAGUAGAGUACUUCUCUACAGAGGUUAAGCAUGCAAACUGAGAAGGUGCUCUAUUUCUAAAAGAAGUUGUAAAUCCUCCUUGAUGGUAAUAUAUAGGAGAGGACGAACUCACUCGAGCACGCCAAAGUUUGGUUAUAGAUGGCCUAUUGUAUUUCAUAUCUACGUUUUUAUUCUUUGAGCUGAUUUUUGUUCAUUACGAUGCAGUGCUGAUGCAUUGUAAUUAAAAAUAUCCAAGAAUUAAAUUUAUGAUGCGUACAGGGUACAGCCACAACAUGUGUUAAAUGUGUCCCUAAUUGUACUGCAGACCAAUCCUAAUUCACAUUAAUCAGCUCAAAGUAGAGCUCUCAGACCAAAUGUGCAGCAGCAACUAUCGGGCUACAAACCUGAAUGUUUGCAUUAAAGAAUAAGUCCAAAUUAGUGAGCUCUACUGCCCACUGCGAUUUCUUUGUAUUAAAGAAAAAAAAAACAGUACUUUUAUCUCGCUGGAACUAUGAUGUUCAUACAUCUAUGAGUAUGUUCAGUUUAUUUUGUCCAAGUCGUUCUCUAGCCAACAAUUUAUACUAGUCAAAUUGUGCGUGUUUCUUAUGUGUGAUAUAGUAUCUCACAGUUGGUUCUUAUUCUGUACAUAACAUGGUUAUCAAGCUUUUCUUGGUUACGAACAUCGUGUAGCAGGCUGCUGUGAGAGAUGUGCAGGAAGCUUGUGUGCAUGAUGGAUAUGUUCUCCACCAUAACUGUACGCCAAGGUGCACCACUGUGUUUCUUGUGCCAUCCAUGCCCACAUUGUCGGUGUCCACUCCCGUGAGAACAGGAGGAACCGUGAGCAUCUGCAGCGUUUCUGGCGCAGGUUUUGAAAACGGCUGCUGGCUGGUCUAUCUUCUGCCCAUUGACAAGCUUCUCCAAUCUGGUGAGGAUUGAUGCCCACCAAGUCGUAUGUCGUGUACAAGGGUAAGGUUCCCGGAGUCUACGACGACUGGGAGGAGUGUUGGAGACAGGUUCACUGUUUCAGCGGUAACAAUUACAAAUGAUACACCACAAGGGCGGAGGCGGAAGUUAGAUACGCGUGCUAUCUAGCGGGAGAGAGGAGGGAGCGUUGGAGGAACCGGAUGAAGACCGGUUACAUCGCGAUUAUGCUCAUCGUGAUGACCGCAGCUCUGUUCUAUGUGAUGGUAGUUUAGAUGAUUGAUAUCGACUUGUAAUGUGAAGACAAACUCAUUACUCGUGGUCAUUCGGAGACUAAUCUUCUAUUGUAUUCAAUAAAUCUUCUGUUUAUA